This is a long non-coding RNA of Xiphophorus hellerii (green swordtail), 666 nucleotides long. RefSeq lists it as uncharacterized. The transcript has 2 exons. NCBI's taxonomy places the organism in Eukaryota, Metazoa, Chordata, Actinopteri, Cyprinodontiformes, Poeciliidae. The record is from RefSeq and is a predicted model, not a curated record.
CCUCUCCCCCUUCCGUCAGUGCGGUCUCAUCGACUCCCUUCGCUUAUAGGACACACGCGUGUAAUAUCUCAGCCUCACGGCUUACUGUGGGCUUCGUGACGACGAGGUACAGCACAGCAGAGAUGAGCAAGGGAAAGAAACGACAGCAUUCAGUCACUUCCAACUUGUCUCUCCAACCAUCUGAAAUUAAACACAGGUUUUCUUCUGUUUUUUGUGACCUUAAGCUCAAGCGUGUACUUUGAGCUUAAGGUCACAAACAUUCUCUUUUGGGACUUGUUCUUCUAGAGAGAAGAAUUCAUGGCUUCAUCAAUAAUAGCAAGUCCUCCAGAUUCUAGGAACUCAUCCGUGGAAGCCAUUUUUACUCAGUCUCUUUCUCAUACUGAAUGCUGAACACUGACCUUUUAAGUCAGGACAUGAUGUGUUGCUUUUUGAGACCUCUUCUUGUUAUCAAACAGGUCAUAUUAAUGUGAUUUAAGAAUAAUACCAGUCUUGCAAUAAGCAGUCAUGGGUUUGGGAAUUGAAAUUGAAUUCAGCUUAUUCAGCCAUGAGGAUAGGAAUAGUUAAUUUAAUGAUUUAUUGGACAAUUAUGUCUUCGAAUGCGACCAGGUUGGUUUGGGUAACCAGUUUUCUUUUACAAAUUACAGUAAAUGCUUCUUUGCAAACUGC